GGUGAGUAACGCGUGGAUAACCUGCCGUAUACAGGGGGAUAACACUUAGAAAUAGGUGCUAAUACCGCAUAAGCGCACGGUUCCGCAUGGAACAGUGUGAAAAACUCCGGUGGUAUACGAUGGAUCCGCGUCUGAUUAGCCAGUUGGCGGGGUAACGGCCCACCAAAGCGACGAUCAGUAGCCGGCCUGAGAGGGUGAACGGCCACAUUGGGACUGAGACACGGCCCAAACUCCUACGGGAGGCAGCAGUGGGGAAUAUUGCACAAUGGGGGAAACCCUGAUGCAGCGACGCCGCGUGAGUGAAGAAGUAUCUCGGUACGUAAAGCUCUAUCAGCAGGGAAGAAAAUGACGGUACCUGAUUAAGAAGCCCCGGCUAACUACGUGCCAGCAGCCGCGGUAAUACGUAGGGGGCAAGCGUUAUCCGGAUUUACUGGGUGUAAAGGGAGCGUAGACGGCAGCGCAAGUCUGGAGUGAAAUGCCGGGGCCCAACCCCGGAACUGCUUUGGAAACUGUGCAGCUCGAGUGCAGGAGAGGUAAGCGGAAUUCCUAGUGUAGCGGUGAAAUGCGUAGAUAUUAGGAGGAACACCAGUGGCGAAGGCGGCUUACUGGACUGUAACUGACGUUGAGGCUCGAAAGCGUGGGGAGCAAACAGGAUUAGAUACCCUGGUAGUCCACGCCGUAAACGAUGAUUACUAGGUGUCGGGGGGCCAAGGCCCUCCGGUGCCGGCGCAAACG
RNAcentral lists this ribosomal RNA (735 nucleotides) under uncultured bacterium. Its description in RNAcentral is "bacterial SSU rRNA". It matches the Rfam family "Bacterial small subunit ribosomal RNA", at positions 105 to 857 of the family's 1533-position model. The record is from RNAcentral.